UGGGGAAUAUUGCACAAUGGGCGCAAGCCUGAUGCAGCCAUGCCGCGUGUAUGAAGAAGGCCUUCGGGUUGUAAAGUACUUUCAGCGGGGAGGAAGGGAGUAAAGUUAAUACCUUUGCUCAUUGACGUUACCCGCAGAAGAAGCACCGGCUAACUCCGUGCCAGCAGCCGCGGUAAUACGGAGGGUGCAAGCGUUAAUCGGAAUUACUGGGCGUAAAGCGCACGCAGGCGGUUUGUUAAGUCAGAUGUGAAAUCCCCGGGCUCAACCUGGGAACUGCAUCUGAUACUGGCAGGCUUGAGUCUCGUAGAGGGGGGUAGAAUUCAAGGUGUAGCGGUGAAAUGCGUAGAGAUCUGGAGGAAUACCGGUGGCGAAGGCGGCCCCCUGGACGAAGACUGACGCUCAGGUGCGAAGGCGUGGGGAGCAAACAGG
This 429-nucleotide ribosomal RNA is filed under the name Chloroflexota bacterium. RNAcentral describes it as "Chloroflexi bacterium partial 16S ribosomal RNA". It matches the Rfam family "Bacterial small subunit ribosomal RNA", at positions 355 to 776 of the family's 1533-position model. The record is from RNAcentral. Lineage: Bacteria; Bacillati; Chloroflexota.